Molecule: ribosomal RNA, 1367 nt
Filed under: uncultured bacterium
Lineage: Bacteria
Description: partial 16S ribosomal RNA
Rfam family: Bacterial small subunit ribosomal RNA
Source: RNAcentral
GAUGAACGCUGGCGGUAUGCUUAACACAUGCAAGUCGAACGAGAGUUUUUAACUCUAGUGGCGAACGGGUGCGUAAUACGUGAGAAUCUGCCCCUAGGAGAAGAAUAACUACUGGAAACGGUAGCUAAGUCUUCAUAUGCUGAGAGGUAAAAUAGUUUAAACUGCCUAGGGAUGAGCUCACGCCUGAUUAGCUUGUUGGUGAGGUAAUGGCUCACCAAGGCCAUGAUCAGUAGCUGGUUUGAGAGAACGAUCAGCCACACUGGGACUGAGACACGGCCCAGACUCCUCCGGGAGGCAGCAGUGAGGAAUUUUCCGCAAUGGGCGAAAGCCUGACGGAGCAAUACCGCGUGAGGGAUGAAGUAUCUUGGUAUGUAAACCUCUUUUCUCAAGAAAGAAGUUCUGACGGUACUUGAGGAAUAAGCAUCGGCUAACUCCGUGCCAGCAGCCGCGGUAAUACGGGGGAUGCAAGCGUUAUCCGGAAUCAUUGGGCGUAAAGCGCCUGUAGGUUGUUUAGUAAGUCCAUUGUUAAAGACCAGGGCUUAACCCUGGGAAAGCAAUAGAAACUACUAGACUUGAGUAUGGCAGGGGUAGAAGGGAAUUUCUAGUGUAGCGGUGAAUGCGUAGAUAUUAGAAAGAACACCGGUGGCGAAAAGCGCUCUACUGGACCAUUACUGACACUGAGAGGCGAAAGCUAGGGUAGCAAAAGGGAUUAGAUACCCCUGUAGUCCUAGCCGUAAACGAUGGGAUACUAGGUGUUGUGCAGUUCGUACAGUAUCUUAGCUAACGCGUUAAGUAUCCCGCCUGGGGAGUACGCUCGCAAGGGUGAAACUCAAAGGAAUUGACGGGGGCCCGCACAAGCGGUGGAGCAUGUGGUUUAAUUCGAAGCAACGCGAAGAACCUUACCUGGCCUUGACAUCCUGCGAACUUUCUAGAGAUAGAUUGGUGCCUUCGGGAACGCAGAGACAGGUGCUGCAUGGCUGUCGUCAGCUCGUGUCGUGAGAUGUUGGGUUAAGUCCCGCAACGAGCGCAACCCUUGUCCUUAGUUACCAGCACGUUAUGGUGGGCACUUUAGGGAGACUGCCGGUGACAAACCGGAGGAAGGUGGGGACGACGUCAAGUCAUCAUGGCCCUUACGGCCAGGGCUACACACGUGCUACAAUGGUGCAUACAGACGGUUGCCAAGCCGCGAGGUGGAGCUAAUCUGAGAAAGUGCGUCGUAGUCCGGAUUGGAGUCUGCAACUCGACUCCAUGAGGUCGGAAUCGCUAGUAAUCGUGAAUCAGAAUGUCACGGUGAAUACGUUCCCGGGCCUUGUACACACCGCCCGUCACACCAUGGGAGUGGGUUGCUCCAGAAGUGGUUAGCCUAA